GAGCUCUGUGAUGUAUACUCCAGACCCAAUGGAUGUUCCAGAGACUGGGUGCCCUGAAGAUGAGCCCUUGGUUCUGUCUGCAACAUCAUUCUGCAGAAUUCAUGAGGGAUGAGGAUGAGAGAGGUCAUCACUCCUCCUUGUCUCUGUCUACUUAGCCUCCCAGAGGAUCUUGGUUUCUGAGUCAAAAAGAGCUGGCUUCAAUUUCAUCUGGCCUCAGGUGUGAGCCACACAUGCUGCCCUAGAGAUUCAGAGCAUGCCCCACCUCAUACCCCACACUGCCUUUUUUGAAAACAGGCUCAGUGGAUGGGAAACAAAGAUGAAUAAUGCAUGAUUUCAACAAACGCUUACUGGGUGUGCAGCACGUAGCAGAUGCUGAGGAUAAAACAGUGAAGAAGACUUGAACCCUGACCUGGUAGAUUACACAGUUCUGCUGGGGAGGCAGACAAGAAAAAAUAAUGAUGAACAGAGGGCCUGGCACGCUGCCUGCUGGGGUAGGCAGGUGGCAAACACUGGGAGGAAGCCCUAGGAUCACGGACGGACAUGGCUCCUGCCUGGGAGGAUUUCCCAGUCUCCUAGGGAAUGAGGGAGGCCCUUGAGCACCCCCAGAUCCCUGCAGCAUGUGCCGAAGUUCCAUUCUACAGGUCAUGAGUCCUCAAAUGAAGGCAUCAGCAGGGCUGCAUUCCUUCUGGAGGUCCUAGGGGAGAAUCUACGGCCUUACCUUUUCUAGCUUUCAGAGGUCACGUGUGUACCUUCUUCCAUCUCCAAAGGGCAUCCUUUCAGCCUCUGCUCCAAAUCAGGAGCUGUGAUCCAGGUUCUCGCCUCCUCUCUGCCUUUCCUGUUCCCCCUCAAUCCCACACUUUUGGUCAA
Molecule: long non-coding RNA, 867 nt
Organism: Pongo pygmaeus (Bornean orangutan)
Lineage: Eukaryota; Metazoa; Chordata; Mammalia; Primates; Hominidae
Exons: 3
Source: RefSeq, a predicted model, not a curated record